Long non-coding RNA from Raphanus sativus (radish), 1571 nucleotides. RefSeq lists it as uncharacterized. The transcript is spliced from 5 exons. NCBI's taxonomy places the organism in Eukaryota, Viridiplantae, Streptophyta, Magnoliopsida, Brassicales, Brassicaceae. The record is from RefSeq and is a predicted model, not a curated record.
AACCGUAAAGAAAAUAAUAGCACAUAAACAUCUAUCUAUUUAUAUAUAAUACAGUUUGUUCUCUCCUUAGAAGGAUUACACGUAAGAAACUAGAGUUCUUUUCCGCUGACACGUGUCUGUUUUUUUUUAUACUUUACGUUUGAAUGUGAUUUUUGGGCUUCACAAAUCGAAUUGAAUGGGCUGAAGUUUGUUAUAUCAAUUUAUCAAACUCUCAAUCUCAACCUUAUAGGCACUCUCUUCGUUGUCAACAACUAUCAUCUUCCAGUUUUUUUCCGAUUUGCUAACAGGUUCAUAGUGUUCUUCAGCUUCUGUUUUCAUGAACCGACGGUGAUGGGAAACACGAUCUGUUGUUCGUGUCGUCUGGAUUUCUUCACGCUGGCAAAGUGAAACAAGAACCGUUACAGAUGCAUUCAAUUGAAUCGUUAUCAUUAACAGCCAUUUAACUCCUCCUCUCCACUCCCAUCACAAUUGUUCAUUCACUGCAUCUGGCUUCUCUUCCAGCGGUGAAUCUACAUGUAUAAAAAGGCCAAACAACACGAAUGACUUUGGAUUUACAUAGAUGCCAAAAAUGCCAGUGAGGUCGAAGAGUUUCAUCAAAUCUUCAAGGAAAAUUAUUUCUCAGAAUAAUGGCAGUCUCAUUUAUCCUCUUCCAUGAUUUGAAGGCUGGACGUUGUUCUUCAACCGUCUAGGUCCGACUUCAAAGGUUCCGGGAAGCAAUAACGCGAUACGCGGUGGCGAGAGCAUAUGGGUUUGGACAUGAUCCUCCUCGGCUCUAAGGUUAUUCCGUUCUUAAUACUCAUGAUCAUCGGAGUUUUAAACAAAAUCCAGUGUCUAAUCUCAGAAUUUUCAUACUUUUGUUUCCAAAUCUUUAUUUUAACUUCCUGCAGUAAAGUGGUUGAAAACUAUAAUAGUAGUGCACAAGCUGCAGAGUUGCUUCUCAGAGUAACUAUAAGCUUUGGCAAUGAAUGUAAUUGAUUUUACUAACAUUUCAUAUUAUUAUCUGAGUCUUCUUAGAUUUGGUUUUGUUUGCUUUAGGAAAGAUCAUUCUGCAAGUCAAAAGGGGAGAAGAAAGAUUGUUUUCUUUAAGUUGAAACUUGGAAUUUGACUCUAAUCCAAUUAUUUUGGGUAACUGGUGCUAUGGCUCAAAUUCUGCGCGGAAGAUAGCGUCUCAAGAACCAAGUGUGAAUAGUACAGCAAUAACAAUGAGGAAGUCACCAUGGAUAGGUUUCAAAAUGAAUUGGAGAAAUCAAAGUCACUGGGUUGAAUACUGGGUUGAAUAUGAUCAAAAGGCCAACAUCGAAGCUGGUGAAUCUGUGGCAGAUGAUGAAGCUAAAUAUGGUCGAGUGAAGGGGCCAAGUCACAUUUUUCAUAAAAAGUUUUAAUACUUUUUCCUAUUGAGGAAUGGUUGAGUGGGUGAAUAUUUGGGUUUAGUAAGCUACAUAUCCGGGAUUCAACUAUUAGUUUGACCGAAUUUAGUUUUCGAGAGAUGUGGUUUACUGUUUUUUUAAAGUAUGGGGUUUUUAUUAUUUUAUAUAACGUUUCACUUUAAACUGAAAACGUUUCACUUUAAA